GGAAGAGUGGCAGAGCGGUUGAAUGCACCGGUCUUGAAAACCGGCGAUGGUGAGAGCCAUCCGUGGGUUCGAAUCCCACCUCUUCCG
RNAcentral lists this transfer RNA (87 nucleotides) under Thauera chlorobenzoica. RNAcentral describes it as "tRNA_Ser_TGA". It matches the Rfam family "tRNA". From Rfam's summary of the family: Transfer RNA (tRNA) molecules are approximately 80 nucleotides in length. Their secondary structure includes four short double-helical elements and three loops (D, anti-codon, and T loops). Lineage: Bacteria; Pseudomonadati; Pseudomonadota; Betaproteobacteria; Rhodocyclales; Zoogloeaceae. The record is from RNAcentral.